CGUUUUCCCGGGCCUCUAGCAUAUCAAUAAGCGGAGGAAAAGAAACCAACAGGGAUUACCUCAGUAACGGCGAGUGAAGCGGUAAUAGCUCAAAUUUGAAAUCUGGCUUCGGUCCGAGUUGUAAUUUGUAGAAGAUGCUUCGGGUGUGGCUCCGGUCUAAGUUCCUUGGAACAGGACGUCAUAGAGGGUGAGAAUCCCGUAUGUGACUGGAUGCUCCGCCUAUGUGAAGCUCUUUCGACGAGUCGAGUUGUUUGGGAAUGCAGCUCAAAAUGGGUGGUAUAUUUCAUCUAAAGCUAAAUAUUGGCCAGAGACCGAUAGCGCACAAGUAGAGUGAUCGAAAGAUGAAAAGCACUUUGGAAAGAGAGUUAAACAGUACGUGAAAUUGUUGAAAGGGAAGCGCUUGCAAUCAGACUUGCACGCUACUGAUCAUCCGAUGUUCUCACCGGUGCACUCAGUUGCGUUCAGGCCAGCAUCGGUUUGGGUGGUUGGAUAAAGGCCUUGGGAAUGUAGCUUCUUUCGGGGAGUGUUAUAGCCCUCGGUGCAAUGCAGCCAACCUGGACCGAGGACCGCGCUUCGGCUAGGAUGCUGGCGUAAUGAUUGUAAGCGACCCGUCUUGAAACACGGACCAAGGAGUCUAACAUCUAUGCGAGUAUUUGGGUGUUAAACCCAUAUGCGUAAUUAACGUGAACGGAGGUAAGAGCCCUUAAGGGUGCAUUAUCGACCGGUCCUGAUGUCUUCGGAAGGAUCUGAGUAAGAGCAUAGCUGUUGGGACCCGAAAGAUGGUGAACUAUGCCUGAAUAGGGUGAAGCCAGAGGAAACUCUGGUGGAGGCUCGCAGCGGUUCUGACGUGCAAAUCGAUCGUCAAAUUUGGGUAUAGGGGCGAAAGACUAAUCGAACCAUCUAGUAGCUGGUUCCUGCCGAGUCUC
Molecule: ribosomal RNA, 926 nt
Filed under: Nagrajchalara keqinii
Lineage: Eukaryota; Fungi; Ascomycota; Leotiomycetes; Helotiales
Description: partial large subunit ribosomal RNA
Rfam family: Eukaryotic large subunit ribosomal RNA
Source: RNAcentral